This 431-nucleotide unclassified non-coding RNA is filed under the name Senecio gregorii. RNAcentral's name for it is "partial contains external transcribed spacer and 18S ribosomal RNA". The stretch from base 368 to 431 matches the Rfam family "Eukaryotic small subunit ribosomal RNA", at positions 1 to 64 of the family's 1831-position model. The record is from RNAcentral. Lineage: Eukaryota; Viridiplantae; Streptophyta; Magnoliopsida; Asterales; Asteraceae.
CAACUUCCACCUGGCAUACCUCUUCAUUUAUGCGUCAUGACUUGUAUCGUCUUGAGCGUAUUGUGGGUUUCCUGUGUUGCUUACCUAACUAAUGGUAUUGUUUUGCUUGAUCAAAGUCCCUUUUCGUCUUGUGUUGCAUUUGCGACGUAUGAUGAACCUCGAAGCGGUCUCUAUGUUCCACCAUGUUGAUGCUAGUGUUUCCAUGUUGUGGCCCAUUGAGUGUUGCUUGGUUUCGAAGAUACAGAACAUUAUUUGGGCAUAGGGUCACUCGUGACUCUUGUUCUGUCCUUUAAUAGUGUUCUUUAUAACGACGGUUCAUGUGCGCCUAGGCUCGUACCUGCGUGAUGUUCUUGUCGAAGAGGAAUGCUACCUGGUUGAUCCUGCCAGUAGUCAUAUGCUUGUCUCAAAGAUUAAGCCAUGCAUGUGUAAGU